Molecule: transfer RNA, 89 nt
Filed under: Chromatiales bacterium
Lineage: Bacteria; Pseudomonadati; Pseudomonadota; Gammaproteobacteria; Chromatiales
Description: tRNA-Leu
Rfam family: tRNA
About the family: Transfer RNA (tRNA) molecules are approximately 80 nucleotides in length.
Source: RNAcentral
GCCCGGGUGGCGAAAUUGGUAGACGCAAGGGACUUAAAAUCCCUCGAGCAAAAAUGCUCGUGCCGGUUCGACUCCGGCCCCGGGCACCA